UUCGAUUAUGCUCACAGAUUGAACGCUGGCGGGAUGUUUACACAUGCAAGUCGAACGGCAGCACGGGACUUCGGUCUGGUGGCGAGUGGCGAACGGUGAGUAAUGUAUCGGAGAAGCGGGGAUAACUACGCGAAAGCGUAGCUAAUACCGCAUACGCCCUUCGGGGCGGGGGACCUUCGGGCCUCGCACUAUUAGAGCGGCCGAUAUCGGAUUAGCUAGUUGGUGGGGUAACGGCUCACCAAGGCGACGAUCCGUACGUUUGAGAGGACGACCAGCCACACUGACUGAGACACGCCCAGACUCCUACGGGAGGCAGCAGUGGGGAAUUUUGGACAAUGGGGAAACCCUGAUCCAGCCAUCCCGCGUGUGCGAUGAAGGCCUUCGUUAAAGCACUUUGGCAGGAAAAGAAACGGCACGGGAUAAUACCCCGUGCAACUGACGGUACCUGCAGAAUAAGCACCGGCUAACUACGUGCCAGCAGCCGCGGUAAUACGUAGGGUGCAAGCGUUAAUCGGAAUUGCCAGUAAAGCGUGCGCAGGCGGUUCGGAAAGAAAGAUGAAAUCCCAGAGCUUAACUUUGGAACUGCAUUUUUAACUACCGAGCUAGAGUGUGUCAGAGGGAGGUGGAAUUCCGCGUGUGUAGCAGUGAAAUGCGUAGAUAUGCGGAGGAACACCGACGGCGAAGGCAGCCUCCUGGGAUAACACUGACGCUCAUGCAUGCGGGAGCAAACAGGAUUAGAUACUCCGGUAGUCCACGCCCUAAACGAUGUCAACUAGCUGUUGGGGCCUCGGGCCUGGUAGCGCAGCUAACGCGUGAAGUUGACCGCCUGGGGGGAGUACGGUCGCAAGAUUAAAACUCAAAGGAAUUGACGGGACCCGCACAAGCGGUGGAUGAUGUGGAUUAAUUCGAAAACCUUACCUACCCUUGACAUGUCUGGAAUCCCGAAGAGAUUUGGGAGUGCUCGCAAGAGAACCGGAACACAGGUGAUGGUCAUGUCAGCUCGUGUCGUGAGAUGUUGGGUUGCCUGCAACGAGCGCAACCCUUUGUCAUUAGUUGCUACGAAAGGGCACUCUAUCGACUGCCGGUGACAAACCGGAGGAAGGUGGGGAUGACGUCAAGUUCUCAUGGCCCUGCGGUAGGGCUUCACACGUCAUACAAUGGUCGGGACAGAGGGCUGCUAACCCGCGAGGGGGAGCUAAUCCCAGAACCCGGAUCGGAUCGCAGUCUGCAACCUGACUGCGUGAAGUCGGACCGCUAGUAACGGUGGAUCAGCAUGUCGCGGUGAAUACGUUCCCGGGUCUGUACACACCGCCAUGGGAGUGGUUUUACCAGAAGUAGUUAGCCUAACCGUAAGGAGGGCGAUUACCACGGUAGAUUCAUGACUGGGGUGAAGUCGUAACAAGGUAGUCUCAUU
RNAcentral lists this ribosomal RNA (1414 nucleotides) under uncultured Bordetella sp. RNAcentral's name for it is "partial 16S-23S ribosomal RNA intergenic spacer". It matches the Rfam family "Bacterial small subunit ribosomal RNA". Lineage: Bacteria; Pseudomonadati; Pseudomonadota; Betaproteobacteria; Burkholderiales; Alcaligenaceae. The record is from RNAcentral.